CCCUGUCCAGUCUCCACCCCGGGAGGCUCCACUCCGGGUCCAGGCCGCCUGGGGCGUUUGCAGUCCUCUGUGGGAGGUGGCGCCCCGCAGAAUGAGAACAUUUCUGUCCCGGGCCAGCAGGUGUUACCUGAGCUCCACUCCAUGUGAAACCAGGUUUUAGGAUUUGGGCCUUUCCCCCAAAGAAUUCAUGGAGUUGUUUCCUGCUUCCAAGGCAUUGUGAAUUCCUCUGGAUAAAGGCCGGCCUGGGCCUCCUGACUGAGUUCAGCAGUCAUUGUGGGACAGAAGAGGAGUGUGCAAACCCUGCAGGAUUAGGGGUGCUGAUGAGGCAACCAUCAGAAGACAUCACUUGACAAGGCCUCUCUAUUUCAUGAGUCACGAGGGCUGAGCAUGGAGCCCUCUUCCUGCUCCUCCAGAAGCCCUGGCCUCCCCGUGACCCAGCCCUUCUUGUUUCCACCUGAUGCUUCUCUCAUAGCUGCCAUGAUUUUGUAAUCUUUUGUCAUAACCUGCCACAUCACCCCUCCAUCAUCCGGUCUCAGCUCACACAGAGGGCUAGAAGGUGAAAAAGUCCACUUUCUGCUUCUCUGCUGGAUGACCUCUCCUCCAUGCCCAGCUGAGAGCUCUUCUUACAAAUCUCCAUAGAAGGGGGUUCUUCAUGUUUCUUGUCAAUGUUUCUCAGUGUUGACAACUUAUAAGGCCAGGGUAUUUGGUGAAAUGGAAUUUCUGGGGGCAGGCUUUCAGGGAUUUGUUGGGUUAUAUAUAAGGAUUUAAAGUAUUCAGAUAAUCUAGCUCAGGGGUCUGCAAACUUUUCCUGUAAAGGCCUAGACAGUGAAUAUUUUAGGCAGGUUAUACAAGUUCUGUGGCAACGACUCAGUUCUGCUGUUGGAACACAAAAGCAGCCACAGGUGAUAUGUAAAUAAAUGAGUGUGGCUUUUUCCAAUAAAUUGUUAUUUUCAAAACUAGGCUACAGCCUGGCCCUGACAGGUCUUCUCACCACUGUAUUCAGUCCUGACCUGCCCAGACAGCCUUCUCCCUAAGGAAGGAGUCCCACACAAAUCUCACUGGCGAAUGCCCUUAUCUGCUGCAGCUGGAGCAGCAGCUUACUAGGCCUUUCAGAUACACUUAGGAAGAAAUCCUGAAGCAGAACCUCAUUAGCUUGUGUGUGGCUGGUGAGGUGGUUUUUGCUCAGGACAGGGUGCCCAAGAGCUCUGGGAGGUCUUUGGUGAGGAGGGGCCUCGAGGAAUUAUCUCAGAUGGGAUGGACUUAUUUCAUUUCCUCUGGGGCACCACCUCUUUCUUCCACCUCUAAGCCUCUGCAUAUGCUGCAUUCUCUGCUGUUUCUUCCAUCUUCUCCACAUAGCUAAGUCCUUCUCAUCCUGUCAGCUCCUCCAGGAAGCCUCCUCAGAUUGCUCUCCUCCCCCAGUUUUUGGUUGGUGUUCCUGUAUAUGCUCCCACUGAGCUCUGAUUGAUAGUCCCCCACUAAAGCCUUUGUUAUGCUUCUCUGUGAUCACUUGUUUCACCUGUAUCUUCUACUAGAAUGUAAGUUAGACUGAACUGAAAACUCUGUGAGGACAAGGACUCCAGCACCUUGCACAAUAUCUGAUCUACAGAAGUAGCUCAAUAAAUAUUUAUUAAAUG
This is a long non-coding RNA of Pongo pygmaeus (Bornean orangutan), 1634 nucleotides long. RefSeq lists it as uncharacterized. The record is from RefSeq and is a predicted model, not a curated record. The transcript has 3 exons. NCBI's taxonomy places the organism in Eukaryota, Metazoa, Chordata, Mammalia, Primates, Hominidae.